AAAUUAGAUUUGGUUUUUGGGAAAAAAUUUUAGUUUUUUUAUAAAAUACAUAAAAAAAAAUAAUAGAAAAUUUAAUUCAUUUAAUAACAAUAAUUUAUUGAGAACUAAUAUUAAUUUCUAGCUAAAUUUGUGCCAGCAGCAGCGGUUAAACAAAUAGAAUUAUUCUCUUUUUAAUAAAAUUUAAAAUAUUUUUUUUACUAAGUAAACAAAAUUAAAGGUAAAAUUUUUUUUUAUUUUCAAAUAAAUUUAAAAUUUAAAUUCUAAAUGUAAACUAGGAUUAGAUACCCUAUUAUUAAGGAGCUUAACAUUGUAAGUAUAUAAAUAUUAUGAAAGCAAAAAAUUAUGGCGGUAUUCUAAGCUUAUCAGAGGAAUUUGCUCUUUAAUGGAUAAAACACCACAAUCUUUCUUUAAUUAGUAUUUAAAACCAGUUUGUAUACCACUAUUAAAAUAAUAAUAUACAAUUAUUAUUACAAUGUACUAUUUAAAUAUUUAAAUUAAAUUAAGUCAAGGUGCAGCAAAAAUUAAAGUAUGAAGUGAAUUACAUUUCUUUUUAGAUAAAAAAAUGAAAAAAAAAUUAGGAUUUGAAAGUAAAAUUAAAAUAGAAAGUUAAUUUGAAUUAAGCUCUAGAAUAUGUACAUAUCGCCCGUCACUCUUUUUUAAGAUAAGUCGUAACAAAGUUAAAAUACUGGAAAGUGUUUU
This 699-nucleotide ribosomal RNA is filed under the name Dermacentor everestianus. RNAcentral describes it as "12S ribosomal RNA". The record is from RNAcentral. Lineage: Eukaryota; Metazoa; Arthropoda; Arachnida; Ixodida; Ixodidae.